RNAcentral lists this transfer RNA (73 nucleotides) under Marinobacterium aestuarii. RNAcentral describes it as "Marinobacterium sp. ST58-10 tRNA". It matches the Rfam family "tRNA". From Rfam's summary of the family: Transfer RNA (tRNA) molecules are approximately 80 nucleotides in length. Their secondary structure includes four short double-helical elements and three loops (D, anti-codon, and T loops). Further hydrogen bonds mediate the characteristic L-shaped molecular structure. tRNAs have two regions of fundamental functional importance: the anti-codon, which is responsible for specific mRNA codon recognition, and the 3' end, to which the tRNAs corresponding amino acid is attached (by aminoacyl-tRNA synthetases). tRNAs cope with the degeneracy of the genetic code in two manners: having more than one tRNA (with a specific anti-codon) for a particular amino acid; and 'wobble' base-pairing, i.e. permitting non-standard base-pairing at the 3rd anti-codon position. The record is from Rfam by way of RNAcentral. Lineage: Bacteria; Pseudomonadati; Pseudomonadota; Gammaproteobacteria; Oceanospirillales; Oceanospirillaceae.
GCCGAUAUAGCUCAGCCGGCAGAGCAGCUCAUUCGUAAUGAGCAGGUCGGAGGUUCGAAUCCUCUUAUCGGCA